GGAGAGAUGGCCGAGUGGUUUAAGGCGCAGUCCUGGAAAGACUGUUCAUUCGAAAGGGUGACCGGGGUUCGAAUCCCCGUCUCUCCGCCA
RNAcentral lists this transfer RNA (90 nucleotides) under Candidatus Ectomicrobium neotermitis. RNAcentral describes it as "tRNA-Ser". It matches the Rfam family "tRNA". Rfam says of the family: Transfer RNA (tRNA) molecules are approximately 80 nucleotides in length. Their secondary structure includes four short double-helical elements and three loops (D, anti-codon, and T loops). The record is from RNAcentral. Lineage: Bacteria; Pseudomonadati; Elusimicrobiota; Endomicrobiia; Endomicrobiales; Endomicrobiaceae.